Molecule: transfer RNA, 67 nt
Filed under: Marmota monax (woodchuck)
Lineage: Eukaryota; Metazoa; Chordata; Mammalia; Rodentia; Sciuridae
Description: tRNA.Ala
Rfam family: tRNA
About the family: Transfer RNA (tRNA) molecules are approximately 80 nucleotides in length. Their secondary structure includes four short double-helical elements and three loops (D, anti-codon, and T loops).
Source: RNAcentral
GGUUGUGGCUCAGUGGUAGAGCACUUGCUUAGCAUGUGUGAAGCACUGGGUUUGAUUCUCAGCACCA